CCUACGGGAGGCAGCAGUGGGGAAUAUUGGGCAAUGGGCGCAAGCCUGACCCAGCAAUGCCGCGUGAAGGAAGAAGGCUUUCGGGUUGUAAACCUCUUUGACAGGGGAAGAGCAGAAGACGGUACCCUGAAAACAAGCCACGGCUAACUAAGUGGCAGCAGCCGCGGUAAUACGUAGGUGGCAAGCGUUGUCCGGAGUUACUGGGUGUAAAGGGCGUGUAGCCGGGAAGGCAAGUCAGAUGUGAAAUCUGGAGGCUCAACCUCCAAAUUGCAUUUGAUACUGUUUGUCUUGAGUACUGGAGAGGUAGACGGAAUUCCUUGUGUAGCGGUGAAAUGCGUAGAUAUAAGGAAGAACACCAGUGGCGAAGGCGGUCUGCUGGACAGCAACUGACGGUGAGGCGCGAAAGCGUGGGGAGCAAACAGGAUUAGAUACCCGAGUAGUC
RNAcentral lists this ribosomal RNA (442 nucleotides) under uncultured bacterium. Its description in RNAcentral is "partial 16S ribosomal RNA". It matches the Rfam family "Bacterial small subunit ribosomal RNA", at positions 338 to 795 of the family's 1533-position model. The record is from RNAcentral.